RNAcentral lists this ribosomal RNA (1443 nucleotides) under uncultured organism. Its description in RNAcentral is "SSU rRNA". It matches the Rfam family "Bacterial small subunit ribosomal RNA". The record is from RNAcentral.
GCUAGCUACAGGCUUAACACAUGCAAGUCGAGGGGCAGCAUUUUAGUUUGCUUGCAAACUGAAGAUGGCGACCGGCGCACGGGUGAGUAACACGUAUCCAACCUACCGAUAACUCCGGAAUAGCCUUUCGAAAGAAAGAUUAAUACCGGAUAGCAUACGAAUAUCGCAUGAUAUUUUUAUUAAAGAAUUUCGGUUAUCGAUGGGGAUGCGUUCCAUUAGUUUGUUGGCGGGGUAACGGCCCACCAAGACUACGAUGGAUAGGGGUUCUGAGAGGAAGGUCCCCCACAUUGGAACUGAAACACGGUCCAAACUCCUACGGGAGGCAGCAGUGAGGAAUAUUGGUCAAUGGGCGAGAGCCUGAACCAGCCAAGUAGCGUGAAGGAUGAAGGCUCUAUGGGUCGUAAACUUCUUUUAUAUGGGAAUAAAGUUUUCCACGUGUGGAAUUUUGUAUGUACCAUAUGAAUAAGGAUCGGCUAACUCCGUGCCAGCAGCCGCGGUAAUACGGAGGAUCCGAGCGUUAUCCGGAUUUAUUGGGUUUAAAGGGAGCGUAGGUGAAUUGUUAAGUCAGUUGUGAAAGUUUGCGGCUCAACCGUAAAAUUGCAGUUGAAACUGGCAGUCUUGAGUACAGUAGAGGUGGGCGGAAUUCGUGGUGUAGCGGUGAAAUGCUUAGAUAUCACGAAGAACUCCGAUUGCGAAGGCAGCUCACUAGACUGUCACUGACACUGAUGCUCGAAAGUGUGGGUAUCAAACAGGAUUAGAUACCCUGGUAGUCCACACAGUAAACGAUGAAUACUCGCUGUUUGCGAUAUACAGUAAGCGGCCAAGCGAAAGCAUUAAGUAUUCCACCUGGGGAGUACGCCGGCAACGGUGAAACUCAAAGGAAUUGACGGGGGCCCGCACAAGCGGAGGAACAUGUGGUUUAAUUCGAUGAUACGCGAGGAACCUUACCCGGGCUUAAAUUGCAACAGAAUAUAUUGGAAACAGUAUAGCCGUAAGGCUGUUGUGAAGGUGCUGCAUGGUUGUCGUCAGCUCGUGCCGUGAGGUGUCGGCUUAAGUGCCAUAACGAGCGCAACCCUUAUCUUUAGUUACUAACAGGUUAUGCUGAGGACUCUAGAGAGACUGCCGUCGUAAGAUGUGAGGAAGGUGGGGAUGACGUCAAAUCAGCACGGCCCUUACGUCCGGGGCUACACACGUGUUACAAUGGGGGGUACAGAAGGCGGCUACCUGGUGACAGGAUGCUAAUCCCAAAAACCUCUCUCAGUUCGGAUCGAAGUCUGCAACCCGACUUCGUGAAGCUGGAUUCGCUAGUAAUCGCGCAUCAGCCAUGGCGCGGUGAAUACGUUCCCGGGCCUUGUACACACCGCCCGUCAAGCCAUGAAAGCCGGGGGUACCUGAAGUACGUAACCGCAAGGAGCGUCCUAGGGUAAAACUGGUAAUUGGGGC